This is a non-coding RNA of Helicobacter sp. MIT 05-5294, 133 nucleotides long. Lineage: Bacteria; Pseudomonadati; Campylobacterota; Epsilonproteobacteria; Campylobacterales; Helicobacteraceae. The record is from Rfam.
GUAGUGAUUUCUGUGUGUUCGGUGUUUCUGCUUGAGCUAUCAAAGAUAGUGAGGAUUUGUCGCCUAAAGAGAUUCUCUUGGCUCUGUUUGUGGCUUUUUUAGGCUACGCAAUUGGGGUAACGCUCAUUUGGGG